Molecule: ribosomal RNA, 368 nt
Filed under: uncultured organism
Description: bacterial SSU rRNA
Rfam family: Bacterial small subunit ribosomal RNA
Source: RNAcentral
CGGAGGGUGCAAGCGUUAUCCGGAUUUACUGGGUUUAAAGGGUGCGUAGGUGGGCGAGAAAGUCAGUGGUGAAAUCUCCGGGCUUAACCCGGAAACUGCCAUUGAUACUAUUUGUCUUGAAUACUUUGGAGGUAAGCGGAAUAUGUCAUGUAGCGGUGAAAUGCUUAGAUAUGACAUAGAACACCAAUUGCGCAGGCAGCUUACUACACAGUAAUUGACACUGAGGCACGAAAGCGUGGGGAUCAAACAGGAUUAGAUACCCUGGUAGUCCACGCCCUAAACGAUGGAUACUCGACAUUAGCGAUAUACAGUUAGUGUCUGAGCGAAAGCAUUAAGUAUCCCACCUGGGAAGUACGAUCGCAAGAUUG